UACGUAGGGGGCAAGCGUUGUCCGGAUUUAUUGGGCGUAAAGAGCGUGUAGGCGGUUCGGUAGGUCCGUUGUGAAAACUCGAGGCUCAACCUCGAGACGCCGAUGGAAACCCCCGAACUAGAGUCCGGAAGAGGAGAGUGGAAUUCCCGGUGUAGCGGUGAAAUGCGCAGAUAUCGGGAAGAACACCCGUGGCUAAGGCGGCUCUCUGGAACGCAACUGACGCUGAGACGCGAAAGCGUGGGGAGCAAACAGG
This 253-nucleotide ribosomal RNA is filed under the name uncultured bacterium. RNAcentral describes it as "partial 16S ribosomal RNA". It matches the Rfam family "Bacterial small subunit ribosomal RNA", at positions 524 to 776 of the family's 1533-position model. The record is from RNAcentral.